UACAGCGUGGCAGCAGGACGCCGCGUGAUUGAUGAAGGCCUCUGGGCUGUAAACCUCUUUUAUCAAGGAAGAAGAUCUGACGGUACUUGAUGAAUAAGCCACGGCUAAUUCCGUGCCAGCAGCCGCGGUAAUACGGGAGUGGCAAGCGUUAUCCGGAAUUAUUGGGCGUAAAGCGUCCGCAGGCGGCCCUUCAAGUCUGCUGUUAAAAAGUGGAGCUUAACUCCAUCAUGGCAGUGGAAACUGUUGGGCUUGAGUGUGGUAGGGGCAGAGGGAAUUCCCGGUGUAGCGGUGAAAUGCGUAGAUAUCGGGAAGAACACCAGUGGCGAAGGCGCUCUGCUGGGCCAUCACUGACGCUCAUGGACGAAAGCCAGGGGAGCGAAAGGGAUUAGAUACCCCUGUAGUCCUGGCCGUAAACGAUGAACACUAGGUGUCGGGGGAAUCGACCCCCUCGGUGUCGUAGCCAACGCGUUAAGUGUUCCGCCUGGGGAGUACGCACGCAAGUGUGAAACUCAAAGGAAUUGACGGAUCCU
Molecule: ribosomal RNA, 530 nt
Filed under: uncultured marine bacterium
Lineage: Bacteria
Description: bacterial SSU rRNA
Rfam family: Bacterial small subunit ribosomal RNA
Source: RNAcentral